Acanthaster planci (crown-of-thorns starfish) is the source of this 1627-nucleotide RNA transcript. RefSeq lists it as uncharacterized. Lineage: Eukaryota; Metazoa; Echinodermata; Asteroidea; Valvatida; Acanthasteridae. The record is from RefSeq and is a predicted model, not a curated record.
AACAACACGUGGGUGUGGUGACAAGCGUGCAAGCGCCACUUUGUGUAUCAUCAAGCCAACGCGAAAGAAAUCAGUCUCUGGGGAAUCGCUGGCACACCUACGUGAUAUGGAAUCAAGCCCCUUAUUGUCAUAAUAUCUGCUCUUUGAACAUUGAUGAAGGUCCAAGAAAGACGGUCAGAUUGUGGAAUCAAAGAGGGCCAGCAGUCUACAACCUUUAGAAGAGGAGUUUUAAAAAAAGGGCUUUUUUUGGAAAGUGGAUAGAAGCAGAGAUGAUAGCAAUAGUGGAAGAAACAUGAGAAGUCUGUCUUCUGCAGUGACUGUACACAUUGAUGCUGGAUUCCACCUGUGCACAUAAAAUGCAGCCGUGUAAUGAACAUACAUCUCGUUCAGGCACUUGUUGGCAAGUGGAUAGAAGCAGAGGUGGCAAUGAGAGUGGAAGGAAUAUGUGCUGUCUGUCAAGGAGAAGUCUACCUUUUGCAGUGACUAGUACAAGAUGUCCCAUAGGUCUACCUUGAUGGAGUUGAUCCAAUUCACCUCUCCAACAACCACCCUUCCCUUUUGUGACCACCAGGAUGUUAACCUCUGUGACAUCAAGGAGCUCCAUCCAAACACUGAUGCCUGACUGUAGUGUGACAUGACUCGUCUACCUCUCUGCCUGCAGUAGUAGUAAAUGUCCUGAUGCUGACACCAUACGGCACCUGUUGGAAUCACAACACAUCACUGAAAUGCACUCUGCAAGUUGAGGGUAACAGCUAAGUGCUGCAGUUUCAGUGGUCUGCCAUCUUGAAGAAUCAGUUUUGUGGAUGAAGAUGUGUGGGCAAAAAGCAUCAGCAAGGCCGAAGUGGUUCCUGUCUGCUCUGUUAUCAGCCUGGGCAUCCCUUGACAAACCUAGGCAGCACAAACCAGAUGCUAUAAUGCUCAAAGAUUAGAUUUGCAGAAAAAAAGUGUAUAGAUAAUCUUCUGAUGGUAAACAUGGUUUAAGACUUUUUGUCUUGUUUGGAACAGUUUAGGCUUUUUGGAACAGAGAAUAUGAGUACAUGUAGAUGUUUUAGUUGAAAAUGCACAUUUUCUUUUUACACAACAAACCCAUAUUUUUAGAACUGCUUCUCAGGGUGUACUUUUGUCUGUAGAGAAAGAAAUUAAGCAUGUUUUAAGUUCCUUUUACUAAAUGUCUCAUCCGAGUAAAUAAAAAUUACAAAGCAUUAGACAAAUUGUUCACUCAAGUUGAGACAUUUCAAAAUGUCCAUUAUACAUACUGUUCAUGUUUGCACAAAGUAAUCACUAUUACCCCUUUAAUUAACUGAUGUUGUACCAUUUUACUGCUUUUCAUUCUUUUCCUGCAUUUUCAAGAUUUUAUGCAUAAUUUUCGUCAGAUUGUAGGAACUUCUUGUUCAAAAUAAGGAGGUACCUGUAAUGCUCAUCAUGUUCCUAGAACAUAUAUAUACCAAGAUAGACACGCAGGUGUACAACUAAACUUUCUUAUAUAUGCCCAAAAAAGUAAAAAAUUCGGACGCCCUGAAAUUUCAGUUGAAUUUUUUGUGACAAACAUAACUUACAUGUACAUAUGGAUAUUUUGAAGAGAAUAGAAAGGCUUGCAAAUAUAUUGUGGACCUACAAGUUACGUUUA